Molecule: unclassified non-coding RNA, 303 nt
Filed under: Hevea brasiliensis (rubber tree)
Lineage: Eukaryota; Viridiplantae; Streptophyta; Magnoliopsida; Malpighiales; Euphorbiaceae
Source: RNAcentral
CAAAUCUUCAACAGCAGCCGCCUUUCAUCUUCUACGCCUAAUAGCGACAAUAACUCAAUGACAAGCAUGCAGGCUUAGAGCGCCCAUCCUCGGCCAUAACUAGAAAUUUUCAUGUGAAACCAUUGAGAUACAAUCAAGCAAGAGACCUAAUCAAAAGUAAGAGCCAACAACCAUGGAAAGGAACCUUUGAAGGUCAAUCCAGGCCAAAUGAGGAAGGGGGAUGGCUCUACAGCUUCUCAAUCUUGUAUAAUUGAUAGAUCUGACGCCGAAAGUCUGACGCCGAAAGUCUAAGCCGACACAAAG